RNAcentral lists this ribosomal RNA (312 nucleotides) under Cosmetus sp. MZSP 73056. RNAcentral describes it as "partial small subunit ribosomal RNA". Lineage: Eukaryota; Metazoa; Arthropoda; Arachnida; Opiliones; Cosmetidae. The record is from RNAcentral.
CCCUAGUAUGAAAAAUUUUUUUAAUUAUUAUGUUUUGAAAUUUAAAGUUUUUGGCGGUUAAAUAUUAAUUAGAGGAGCUUGUCUAUUUUAGAAAUAACUCUUUAUAUUUUACUAGUUUUUGUUUAUUUAUCUCCGUUAUUAGAUUAGUUUUUUAUAAGAUUUUUCUUCUAUUUCAGGUCAAGAUGUAGCAAUAAUUAGAUGUGAUUAGCUACAGUUAUGUAGUAAUGGAGUUUUUACUUUAAUGUGAAGGUUAAAUUGAAUUUAGUUGUAAUUAAAUUUAGAAUAAUUUUGUGAAGUGUAGUAUUUAAUGUA